RNAcentral lists this ribosomal RNA (252 nucleotides) under uncultured bacterium. RNAcentral describes it as "partial 16S ribosomal RNA". It matches the Rfam family "Bacterial small subunit ribosomal RNA", at positions 15 to 261 of the family's 1533-position model. The record is from RNAcentral.
GAUCCUGGCUCAGAUUGAACGCUGGCGGCAGGCUUAACACAUGCAAGUCGAACGGGUAGCAGGUAAGUACUUGUACUUAUGCUGACGAGUGGCGGACGGGUGAGUAAUGCUUGGGGAUCUGGCUUAUGGAGGGGGAUAACGACGGGAAACUGUCGCUAAUACCGCGUAGAAUCGAGAGAUGAAAGUGUGGGACCUUCGGGCCACAUGCCAUAGGAUGAACCCAAGUGGGGAUUAGGUAGUUGGUAGGGUUAA